CUGUUUGGUUCAGGCAGAGAUGUCCUUGGCCUUCUGAAAAAUUUGGAGGUGCAGUGAGAAAUAAUGAAACUCAAAAAGGAGGACUGAAUUAUAAACAACUUCUUCUCCUUCUCCUCUGGCUCACAAAGAUCACCAUCAGCUGGCUACCAAAUGACAUGACGUUCCUUCUCAUCCUCUGCUGACAUCCAAACUUACUGUGGAACAGCACCAGAGACUAGAAAAGUGGCAUCAAGGUCUGACCAGAGGCAGUGCAGAAAAU
This 259-nucleotide long non-coding RNA is filed under the name Struthio camelus australis. Its description in RNAcentral is "lncRNA (ENSSCUG00000003629.1)". Lineage: Eukaryota; Metazoa; Chordata; Aves; Struthioniformes; Struthionidae. The record is from RNAcentral.